Molecule: ribosomal RNA, 465 nt
Filed under: uncultured bacterium
Lineage: Bacteria
Description: partial 16S ribosomal RNA
Rfam family: Bacterial small subunit ribosomal RNA
Source: RNAcentral
GAUGAACGCUGGCGGCGUGCUUAACACAUGCAAGUCGAACGGAAAGGCCCCUGCUUGCAGGGGUACUCGAGUGGCGAACGGGUGAGUAACACGUGGGUGAUCUGCCCUGCACUUCGGGAUAAGCCUGGGACACUGGGUCUAAUCCCGGAUAGGACGAUGGUUUGGAUGCCAUUGUGGAAAGUUUUUCGGUGUGGGAUGAGCUCGGGGCCUAUCAGCUUGUUGGUGGGGUAAUGGCCUACCAAGGCGUCGACGGGUAGCCGGCCUGAGAGGGUGGACGGCCACAUUGGGACUGGGAUGCGGCCCAGACUCCUACGGGAGGCAGCAGUGGAGAAGGUUACACAAGGGGCGCAAGCCUGAUGCAGCGACGCCGCGUGGGGGAUGACGGCCUGCGGGUUGUAAACUCCUUUCGCUAGGGACGAAGCGCAAGUGACGGUACCUGGAGAAGAAGCACCGGCUAACUACGUG